This is a long non-coding RNA of Macadamia integrifolia, 745 nucleotides long. RefSeq lists it as uncharacterized. NCBI's taxonomy places the organism in Eukaryota, Viridiplantae, Streptophyta, Magnoliopsida, Proteales, Proteaceae. The transcript is spliced from 2 exons. The record is from RefSeq and is a predicted model, not a curated record.
CUCCAUUACUUGCUAAUUUAGAAUGGGAACUCUUCUUUUUAUCUCACGUAGAAGUUUCAUGUUAUGCUGAUGACCAUUGUGCUAGUUUUUUGUUUACAUGUGUGCUGAGGACUGAAACCUCCAUCUAGAGGUAGAAUUUUUUUUUUCUGGGUAAAACAUUGCUGCUUUUGGGCUUGUUUAUAUAUAUAUAUAUAUAUAUUUUUUUUUUUUGGUUGCCAUUUUAGUUUUUUUCUGACAUCCUUAGAUAGUUAGUGAAGUGUUCGCAUUUAAUAUUUUCCCCAUCCUUAAUCCCUUAGGUGGUUAUUGUGUAUGAUUACCCUGCUAGUGUAGAUGCGAUGGUAGGACUUACCUGGUCAUAGUUCUUGCUUCCUACAGCUAAAGCCAUCUGGUCAAUUGAAGAGGUGCCCUGCUGUCAAUGGAGUCAGAGUUGACUUCAAAAUUAUCAUCUUUCUCCAGUGCAUAGUAGGUACUUUCAUGAUUGGAAAUUAUAGUUCAAGUACUUCUUGCGCUCUCUCCUGAGAUGCAAAUGCAUGCAUGUAGCAAACUACCUUGAGCUCUAGGUUUAAGUGCUGGAUGAGUAUUUUGAAUUUUCACCCAUAAAAUAUGGCGUUUUGGUGAUACCACUCGAUUCUCAGCUGUGUAAUGGGGAUAUUUUAUUGGUUUAGUUGCUAGAUUUGGUAGAUAUCGGAGUAUAUUGUGGUUUCCCCAGCUUUAUAAUUUAAGAUUUGUGGACUAUUUCAGGGUU